AUUGAACGCUAGCGGCAGGCCUAACACAUGCAAGUCGAACGAGUGGCGGACGGGUGAGUAAUGUCUGGGAACCUGCCCAAUAGCGGGGGAUAACUACUCGAAACGGUAGCUAAUACCGCAUACCAUCGGAUGUGCCCAGAUGGGAUUAGCUAGUAGGUGGGGUAACGGCUCACCUAGGCGACGAUCCCUAGCUGGUCUGAGAGGAGGACCAGCCACACUGGAACUGAGACACGGUCCAGACUCCUACGGGAGGCAGCAGUGGGGAAUAUUGCACAAUGGGCGCAAGCCUGAUGCAGCCAUGCCGCGUGUAUGAAGAAGGCCUUCGGGUUGUAAAGUACUUUCAGCGAGGAGGCGUUACUCGCAGAAGAAGCACCGGCUAACUCCGUGCCAGCAGCCGCGGUAAUAC
Molecule: ribosomal RNA, 406 nt
Filed under: uncultured bacterium
Lineage: Bacteria
Description: partial 16S ribosomal RNA
Rfam family: Bacterial small subunit ribosomal RNA
Source: RNAcentral